GGGGCUAUAGCUCAGCUGGGAGAGCGCUUGCAUGGCAUGCAAGGGGUCGACGGUUCGAUCCCGUCUAGCUCCACCA
Molecule: transfer RNA, 76 nt
Filed under: Gammaproteobacteria bacterium
Lineage: Bacteria; Pseudomonadati; Pseudomonadota; Gammaproteobacteria
Description: tRNA-Ala
Rfam family: tRNA
About the family: Transfer RNA (tRNA) molecules are approximately 80 nucleotides in length. Their secondary structure includes four short double-helical elements and three loops (D, anti-codon, and T loops). Further hydrogen bonds mediate the characteristic L-shaped molecular structure. tRNAs have two regions of fundamental functional importance: the anti-codon, which is responsible for specific mRNA codon recognition, and the 3' end, to which the tRNAs corresponding amino acid is attached (by aminoacyl-tRNA synthetases). tRNAs cope with the degeneracy of the genetic code in two manners: having more than one tRNA (with a specific anti-codon) for a particular amino acid; and 'wobble' base-pairing, i.e. permitting non-standard base-pairing at the 3rd anti-codon position.
Source: RNAcentral